GAGGUAAGUCGGGUGACCGCCUGACUUCGCUAUAUGGAUGGGGUUAUACAACGCAGUGGUGCAGUUGGGAGGAAAGUCCGGGCUCCACAGGGUAGCGUAGCGGCUAACAGCCGUCCGUCGAAAGGCGCGGAUUAGAGCAACAGAGACGAGUUCUCCGAUGUAUUGUCGGAGAGGUGAAACGGGCAAUCUCUACGCGGAGCAAGGCCAAAUAGAAGGAGAGGAAUUACCCGUUCCGUUAUAUCCUCAGGUAGGCCGCUAGAUCCUGUCCUGAACGAAUUUUCUUCUUGGAAAAUUUAUCAGGAUCCCGAAGUUAUUCUGUAGAAAUUUCUACAUUCGGGAACAGCAAUGUCGGGACCAGAUAGAUGGUCACCAAAGACGUGAAUUAUCACGUUUGACAGAACCCGGCUUAUAGACUUGCCUUGAAA
This 425-nucleotide RNase P RNA is filed under the name Candidatus Omnitrophota bacterium. RNAcentral describes it as "RNase P RNA component class A". It matches the Rfam family "Bacterial RNase P class A". Rfam says of the family: Ribonuclease P (RNase P) is a ubiquitous endoribonuclease, found in archaea, bacteria and eukarya as well as chloroplasts and mitochondria. Its best characterised activity is the generation of mature 5'-ends of tRNAs by cleaving the 5'-leader elements of precursor-tRNAs. Lineage: Bacteria; Pseudomonadati; Candidatus Omnitrophota. The record is from RNAcentral.